AGCGGAGGAAAAGAAACCAACAGGGAUUGCCCCAGUAACGGCGAGUGAAGCGGCAACAGCUCAAAUUUGAAAUCUGGCCCCCAGGGUCCGAGUUGUAAUUUGCAGAGGAUGAUUUUGGCGAGGUGCCUUCCGAGUUCCCUGGAACGGGACGCCACAGAGGGUGAGAGCCCCGUCUGGUUGGACGCCGAGCCUAUGUAAAUCUCCUUCGACGAGUCGAGUAGUUUGGGAAUGCUGCUCUAAAUGGGAGGUAUAUGUCUUCUAAAGCUAAAUAUUGGCCAGAGACCGAUAGCGCACAAGUAGAGUGAUCGAAAGAUGAAAAGCACUUUGAAAAGAGGGUUAAAUAGUACGUGAAAUUGUUGAAAGGGAAGCGCUCAUGACCAGACUUGGGCCCGGUGAAUCAUCCAGCGUUCUCGCUGGUGCACUUUGCCGGGCUCAGGCCAGCAUCAGUUUGCCCCGGGGGAUAAAGGCUUUGGGAAUGUGGCUCCUCCGGGAGUGUUAUAGCCCAUUGCACAAUAUCCUGGGGUGGACUGAGGUUCGCGCAUCUGCAAGGAUGCUGGCGUAAUGGUCAUCAGCGACCCGUCUUGAAACACGGACCA
RNAcentral lists this ribosomal RNA (596 nucleotides) under Metapochonia rubescens. Its description in RNAcentral is "eukaryotic LSU rRNA". It matches the Rfam family "Eukaryotic large subunit ribosomal RNA", at positions 49 to 668 of the family's 3401-position model. The record is from RNAcentral. Lineage: Eukaryota; Fungi; Ascomycota; Sordariomycetes; Hypocreales; Clavicipitaceae.